GCUGGGGACAGUGGUGCAUGUCUGUAAUCCCAGCAACUUGGGAGGCUGAGGCAGGAAGAUCAUGAGUUCCAAGCCAGCCUCUAAAGGUGAGGCAUUAAGCAACUCAGUGAGACCCUGUCUCUU
Molecule: small RNA, 123 nt
Filed under: Marmota monax (woodchuck)
Lineage: Eukaryota; Metazoa; Chordata; Mammalia; Rodentia; Sciuridae
Source: RNAcentral